UGCUGCCCAUCAUAGGCCGUGCCUUUCAGAGCCGUCAACUUAAUUAAGGCAAUCACCACAGACAUGGCCACAGGCCAAGCUGAUGUAUGAAACCCCUCAUUGAGAUUCUCUUUCUGGGUGAUUCUAUGUUAAGUUGAGGAUUAACGCUGACCCUGCAUCCCUUCUGAGCUCCUAGGCUGAUUCAUCUCAUCUUGCUCAGGCUCCCUUCUGUCUUUAUCCUAUAGAUUCCUAACUGGAGAGAUGUUCUUAGAUGGUUCUAUUGAUAAACCCGGACAUGGGAUGACAAGAAAGGCCCUUCACCUCAUGGGUGUCGUUCUCAAAAGUCCACUGGCGUUGCAGGUUCAGUCAUGGAGAGCUCAUCAGGCAAUUUCAGAUACAGAGAGAUUCUCUAGACCUUAGAUGCAGGGCUAUUCGAGAAGACUAAAAUUAAUUAAUUAAUUAGUUAAUUAAUUAACUAAUUAAAAAAGCCAGAGGACCUGUCACAGACCCGAGCAGGUAGAAGAGGUACAACUGCAGAGUUGAACAGGGUCUUGGAUUAGAUCCUCGGACAAGAAGAGUGCCGGUUACCUGGAGCUCUUCCUGACAAGAUAACGGUCAGUUUCUUGACUUUUACGCCUGCUUAUUUAAGACUCACCAUGCCAGUAAUGAUGACCUUGAACUUCUGAGAAAAGAGGAGAACUACCUUGAAACACAUGAGUCACCUGCCCUGAGUAGGAAGAGCAACAGAAACAAGGGAGAGAGGCUGCCUGACAAGGGGGAGGAAGGAACCACUUCCUGGAGAGCUGUCUUCUGACCUCCACACACACCAUGACACACGGCUGCCCCGCCCAAUAUUCCGUUUUUAAUAGAGAAGGAAUCUGAGUGAUUCUUCCUUAUUUUCUGCCUGUUUCAGUUCUGUGUCUCAGGCGUUUGGCCUCUGCUUGUCCCUGCGACCUGCAGGUGGCAAGAGCUUCCUGGAGGUCAGCCUGUCUUGCAUCUCCCUAUCAAGGUGUUAGCUCCCAUGACUCUGCCCACAGUUCCGGGAACUACUGUUCAUCUUCAUCUCCUCAACAGAGAAAUGAAUAAUGCGCUCAACCUACGUCCAUCGCCUUGAUCAAUGAUAGAGAAAUAAAAAAAAAACACACAGAAAAUGUAUAUUUCAAAAAGCAGUCAAGAAAAAAAAAUGGAUUUUUUUCUGAGUCAAUGCAGAAAGUAUUUCUCUCCCUCAGAAUUCCUGAGUAAAGAUGUGUUGCUUAAGAGGGUGCAACACUCUUCACUACGUGCAUUCAGAUCUAACUCUAUCUCUAGGCCAAAAGUAAAACAAAAACGGCUUGAUAUCUUCUAAGAAAGCCAUCUGCACAUAGAGUCCGGCGAGACAGGCUGUCAUCGGGGUAACCCGUCUUGAAGACAGGUCCUCUGGGUGUUUCCAAGUUACUGUCCUUGACUCUGGGGUAGGGAAGAGUAGCACAUUCAGAUCUGGAUGUGUUUGUCUAGAAAAGUCUUGUUCGUCUAUGGUGCUCACUGCUGAAACAGCUCAGGACUGAAAGCUCCAAGCCUAACUGCCCAGUGUGAAUCCAAGGCCCUCUGGGAGACUAGUGAACCCUGGGCAUGCUUAGAGCCAGUGCCAGAGAACUUACCUAGCAUGCAAAGAGGCCUGAGGACGACACAGAGGUGGGAGAGGACACAGAACAGGACGUGCCAGUUAGACAAUAAAGCAGUAAACCAUUGUUAUUCAAAGUCAUUUCUAGAAAAUACAUGAAAAGUCUACAGUCAAACCACUCUGAAUAUGUCUAACCUUGUCUUGUCUCAGGGGCUAAUGCAGUCAGGCCUCGUUAGUACUUGGAUGGGAGAAAAUAUAUGAAGAAUUAUUUUUAACCUACUAUUUAUAUAGGUUAUUACUAAGCAGGCUGGGAUUUGUUUAAAACUCACAUAAAUUGAUGGAUUUUAUUUAAUUGGUGAAUAAAAAGUAAGAAUGG
Long non-coding RNA from Mastomys coucha (southern multimammate mouse), 1955 nucleotides. RefSeq lists it as uncharacterized. The transcript has 2 exons. The record is from RefSeq and is a predicted model, not a curated record. NCBI's taxonomy places the organism in Eukaryota, Metazoa, Chordata, Mammalia, Rodentia, Muridae.